CCCUAUGAAUAAGCAAAAACUUGCCAAGGCAGAGAGCUCCUGCUGACUUAAAGCCAGGCCCAUGAAUGAGGGCCACCUGCUCACCAGGCUUGGGCUGUCAGGGUGGAGGGAGACAGCAGGGCUGGGCUGUAGGAGAUCUGCCACUGUGAUCAGGGGAUUGGGCAGUCUCUGCAGAGGACUCUGUAUUCUUCGCUAUCUAGGCAAAGGUGGAGCGAACUCUGAGGUGGUAAAGAGUGACACGAAAAGCCUGGAAUCCUGCACUGUGAGAGCAGGAUUUGGUCUUGAUGAGAACUGAGUGGCAAAGGUGCAUAAGGAAAUUCUUUUGAAAAUAGAUGCUAGUAUACUCAGGCAAGAACUUCAGGUUGUUGGGGCUGGGAGCAGUAUCCAGUCAAGAAGAAAAUGAGCAGCAAGCUGACUGACUCUGAGACUUUUGUGCUGGGAGCCUACAGUCUACAGGACCUCAGCCGGCAUCCUGCGCUGUCCCUGUGCGAGUUUUCAGGAGAAGACAUCUGAUUUAAGAAGUAAAGUACGCCGUGGGAUAAAGCCCAGCUGCGGAACUCGGCACCCAAAGCCCAGCAGGAUGUGGUUGUGUUUGUCACCACCUCAUUGUGUGUGCUGGAGGCACCCAUGAACCACAGCUCUCUACGUCUAGCCACACGGACGCAUCGCAGACAGUUUGCCUGAGCGUCUUUCUCACUCUUGUGGUUUAAAACAGCUUCUGUGCCAUUCCCCAGUCCCUUGCUCUCUCUUCUUAUUCUUUGGUUCUUAAUAAUUGGCUUAGCCAUUAUUUCCUUUGUAUUUCCUUUGUAUUAUCUCUUGGGUGACACACACAUGGAAUCAUAACCAUUUGGUUGGUCCUUCCUUCCUUCCUUCCUUCCUUCCUUCCUUCCUUCCUUCCUUCUCCCAUUGGACUAUGAGCCCCAGAGAAUGAAAACCAUGCCUUACGUGUGGCUGCUUCUUGGCCCUGAGUAGUAGCUCAGAGACAGGUGGGAAUGAACCAAGAUCUUGUGAGAGGCCCUGGAGCUUUGUCAUUUCAAACUCUGGUCUCUAAAGGACAAGGCAUUGAUCAACUGGAAAUAAACACGAGCUAUGAGAAGAACCAGGUACUGUUUACUAGAGAUCAAGCUGGGGGCUGGAGAGAUGGCUCAGGCUCACAACCAAAAAAAUAAGAGGUUAAGCUGGACAUAAUACAUGGGAAAAACUACAAAUAGAGGCGUUGUUGGCGAUAAAGACACGCGCAGAGCCAGUGUUGCACUGGUGGGGUGGUGUACUUGGGAUAGAGGGGGAGGUGGGGUUGGAGCUAAGAGAGUCAUCAUAUCCUAGAGCUUCCAAGGAAAGAGGAGGCAGAGGGCAGGGUCAAUGCUGGUAAAGGCACUGUCAAUUGACGUUCUUAGCAGGGAUGGGGGAUGGGAGAAGCUACAGAAAAAUUUCUAAGGCCAAAUGACUGAAAAUCUGUAUUAUGGAAAGAUUUCUGAGACCAAAUGACUGAAAUUCUUUAUUAUGGAAAGGUGUAGAACCAACCCUAUGCCAUGAUUUCCAUUCUGUGGAGCAUGUAGUCCAACCAGAGAGAAAGAGAGAGAGAGCCAAAUGGCUAUGAUUCUGAAUACCACUAUGAGGUAAAAAUAGAAGCAAAGGAAAUGGUAAUUAAGCCAGUUGUUAAGAACAAAAGAAUAAUAGCAAGAGGAAGGAGAAAGGAGGAGUUGGAAGAGGGGUUUCCUAAGCAAUGAGAGAGAGAGAGAGAGAGACUGGCAGGUUUAUGAGGAGUAUUGGCUUGGCUGGAAGUGGAGAGCUGCGUGUUUCAGAUGGGAGAUUUGCAGGCCGGAGCCAAAAUGUCUUGGGCCACUUUGAAAUUUUUUGAAAACCUUCUAUUGUCCACCUCUGCUUCAGGCUUAACAUCCUUGUGUCUACCACAAUCUUUCAAUGUUUUGAGGAAGCCACUGCCUUCCACAAUCCAAAAGCUAAGAAUGUCAUCAGAUAGCGUCUGCAACCUAGAACAGUCCCCUACUCGAUGUACCCAUGGCCCCACCCAUGUGUUCCUAAAGUCCCUUGAUUUAUGACUUUGAUCUGUAACUGAUAAUCUCUCAUGGAACCACUCCUUCUGUGGAACAUGGUUUCUGGGGAAACCUGACUCCUGGGCCAAGAUCACUUAUAUUUGGCUCCAGAAUAAAAUCUUUUAUUCCCUUCAAGGUGA
Meriones unguiculatus (Mongolian gerbil) is the source of this 2191-nucleotide long non-coding RNA. RefSeq lists it as uncharacterized. The record is from RefSeq and is a predicted model, not a curated record. Lineage: Eukaryota; Metazoa; Chordata; Mammalia; Rodentia; Muridae. The transcript is spliced from 3 exons.